GAUGAACGCUGGCGGCGUGCCUAAUACAUGCAAGUCGAGCGAACAGAUGAGGAGCUUGCUCCUCUGACGUUAGCGGCGGACGGGUGAGUAACACGUGGAUAACCUACCUAUAAGACUGGGAUAACUUCGGGAAACCGGAGCUAAUACCGGAUAAUAUAUUGAACCGCAUGGUUCAAUAGUGAAAGACGGUUUUGCUGUCACUUAUAGAUGGAUCCGCGCCGCAUUAGCUAGUUGGUAAGGUAACGGCUUACCAAGGCAACGAUGCGUAGCCGACCUGAGAGGGUGAUCGGCCACACUGGAACUGGGACACGGUCCAGACUCCUACGGGAGGCAGCAGUAGGGAAUCUUCCGCAAUGGGCGAAAGCCUGACGGAGCAGCGCCGCGUGAGUGGUGAAGGUCUUCGGAUCGUAAAGCUCUGUUAUUAGGGAAGAACAAAUGUGUAAGUAGCUAUGCACGUCUUGACGGUACCUAAUCAGAAAGCCACGGCUAACUACGUG
This 497-nucleotide ribosomal RNA is filed under the name uncultured bacterium. RNAcentral describes it as "partial 16S ribosomal RNA". It matches the Rfam family "Bacterial small subunit ribosomal RNA", at positions 28 to 507 of the family's 1533-position model. The record is from RNAcentral.